This 572-nucleotide ribosomal RNA is filed under the name Triticum aestivum (bread wheat). Its description in RNAcentral is "partial small subunit ribosomal RNA". The record is from RNAcentral. Lineage: Eukaryota; Viridiplantae; Streptophyta; Magnoliopsida; Poales; Poaceae.
GCCAGCCAUCACACAAGGCGCGCCUAGAGGCCGUGCGUCGCGCCAUUCAAUUGGUCGCCGCCGCGUACCCAUCCAGGCAGCCUCCCUCUCACGGUCAUCUGAACCGGUGCAGCCCAUUACGCCAGCCCGUCGCCAUGUGGAUAUUAUGAAGAUUGAAAUAUACAAAAUUUGCCAUGUUGUGGAAACAUAAUGUGUAAGUGAAUUUGCCAUACAAACUAUAUAUAAAUUUGCCAAGUUAUGAAUGAAUUCGAUGAACUUCCUAGAGAAUAAUGCAUAGUUGCCAUGUCCAUCAUUUAUUGAAUAAAAAACUGAUGGCAACUUUAUUAUAAAGUAUUUUUGCCAUGGCAAUUAACAUUACCAAUGCAUACGGUUCCAGCAUCAAUUUGGUAUGUCACCAUGUGGAUAUUAACAUUACCGUCGCCAUGUGGAUAUUAACAUUACCAAUUUGGUAUGCUCUCCACUCUAAAAUUUCUCCCUAAUAUGAAGUAGCCAUAUCAUCUGAAUAUAAAUUGCCAUGUGCUAUCUGAAGACGGAAAAAUUCAGACAACAAAAUGCACAGCAAAAAAGAGGAU